CCCUUAGAUGUUCUGGGCCGCACGCGCGCUACACUGUUCGACGCAGCGAGUCUUAACCUUGACCGAAAGGUUUGGGUAAUCUUCAGCAAAGUCGAACGUGAUGGGGAUCGAUCAUUGCAAUUAUUGAUCGUGAACGAGGAAUUCCUAGUAAGUGCAAGUCAUCAGCUUGCGCUGAUUACGUCCCUGCCCUUUGUACACACCGCCCGUCGCUACUACCGAUUGAAUGGUUUAGUGAGAUCUCUGGAUUGACGCUGGCUAGGGGGCGACCCUUGGCCAGACUGUUGAGAAACUGCUCGAACUUGAUCAUUUAGAGGAAGUAAAAGUCGUAACA
RNAcentral lists this ribosomal RNA (331 nucleotides) under uncultured eukaryote. RNAcentral's name for it is "partial 18S ribosomal RNA". It matches the Rfam family "Eukaryotic small subunit ribosomal RNA", at positions 1470 to 1796 of the family's 1831-position model. The record is from RNAcentral.